UACAGGGGGGGCAAGCGUUGUUCGGAAUUACUGGGCGUAAAGGGUUCGUAGGUGGCCAAUUAAGUCAGACGUGAAAUCCCUCAGCUUAACUGGGGAACUGCGUCUGAUACUGGUUGGCUUGAGUGCAGGAGAGGAAUGCGGAAUUCCAGGUGUAGCGGUGAAAUGCGUAGAUAUCUGGAGGAACACCGGUGGCGAAGGCGGCAUUCUGGACUGUAACUGACACUGAGAAACGAAAGCCAGGGGAGCAAACGGG
Molecule: ribosomal RNA, 253 nt
Filed under: uncultured bacterium
Lineage: Bacteria
Description: partial 16S ribosomal RNA
Rfam family: Bacterial small subunit ribosomal RNA
Source: RNAcentral